GUGAAUCAUCAAAUUUUUGAACGCAAAUUGCGCCUUUUUCGGAAGGCAUGUCUGUUUGAGGGCACCAUUUAACAAAUAAUGUGCAGCGUUUUUUGUUGCACACGUUGAUGAGCUUUCCAAGAAUUUUAAAUUUUUGGUGGCGCAUAAUGAACAGCGUGAAAGUUUUUUUUAGGUUGAGGGGAGGUAAAACUUUUCUUGGGGUGGUGAAAAAAAUAA
Molecule: unclassified non-coding RNA, 216 nt
Filed under: Paraglomerales sp.
Lineage: Eukaryota; Fungi; Glomeromycota; Glomeromycetes; Paraglomerales
Description: partial contains 5.8S ribosomal RNA and internal transcribed spacer 2
Rfam family: 5.8S ribosomal RNA (bases 1-65)
Source: RNAcentral